This is a long non-coding RNA of Eriocheir sinensis (Chinese mitten crab), 322 nucleotides long. RefSeq lists it as uncharacterized. Lineage: Eukaryota; Metazoa; Arthropoda; Malacostraca; Decapoda; Varunidae. The transcript has 3 exons. The record is from RefSeq and is a predicted model, not a curated record.
GCGUCAUGGCGUGCAGGAGGAAGGAAGGCUCAAGGUUCCCUAUCAUUUUGUGGCCUCACGGUAGCUCCUGGAGGCGUUUUGGUCUAGUCUCCCGGCAUUGUAUCCAUUGAAGUGAUGGAGAGCGCCUUCCUCCUCCUCUCAACAGGUUCUUCAACACCUCUUCCUUGGUGCCAGGAUCAAGGAAGUCAACUGACCCUCUCCAGGGUGGUUUGUGUGACGCUGUAGUCCUCGAUGGGAAGGUGCUGGCGGCUACGCUCCAGAGUACCAAACACUGCGGCCCAGGUCAGGCUCUCUGCUGGGACAAAGUACUCCAGCCGCCCCC